RNA transcript from Phyllostomus discolor (pale spear-nosed bat), 6103 nucleotides. It is a transcript of the gene named Myb/SANT DNA binding domain containing 2, with no coding region annotated. NCBI's taxonomy places the organism in Eukaryota, Metazoa, Chordata, Mammalia, Chiroptera, Phyllostomidae. The transcript is spliced from 4 exons. The record is from RefSeq and is a predicted model, not a curated record.
GCCAGCCGCGAAACCCCCGGCGAGCCAGGCCCUACAGCGGCCCGGGAGACCGCGGCGGCCGGAAGUGAGGGGACGUCACUUCCGAGCGGUGCAGUGGCGGCCGCUAGGAAGAUGGCUGCGCCCUGUGGCUCGGAGCGGCCCGCCAACUCGCCCCUUAAAAUCCCGAAGAUGGAGGUGCUCUCCCCUGCCUCUCCUGGUGGCCUGAGCGACGGAAACCCUUCGCUAUCCGACCCUUCCACGCCUCGGGGAGCCUCCCCGCUCGGGCCGGGCAGUGCAGCGGGCUCGGGGGCAGCGCCGUCAGGGGGUCUCGGGCUGGGGCUUGGGGGGCGCAGCGCCGCCUCGUCCUGGGGAGCCCCGGCCGCCGCCUGCCGCGGCAUGUCGUGGACACCGGCCGAGACCAACGCGCUCAUCGCUGUGUGGGGAAACGAGCGGCUGGUGGAGGCACGGUACCAGCAGCUGGAGGGAGCCGGCACGGUAUUCGGCAGCAAGGCCCCCGGGCCGGCCAUGUACGAGCGCGUGUCCCGGGCCCUGGCCGAGCUGGGCUACGAGCGGACCCCGUCCCAGUGCCGGGAGCGCAUCAAGCUGGUUCGAUGCCCAGAACUGAACGCUGUGCUCCAGCUGUGGCCUCACCGGUGCUGAAUAGAGAGGAAGAGCCACCUUCAUAGCUUACAUGUGAUUCCUCUGCUUACACAACCCAAUGCUGGAUGUACUUACUUGGGCAAGAUAGCUGCAUCGUGCACUGUAUUCGAUGUUACGUGUGCUGUGACCCUGGGUCUUUCUCUGCAUCGCUGCCGUCCAACCCCGUCCUGCCCCUCUCCAGUUCCCGCCUCUGUUCACCCGUCCCCCCCUCCCCACCCCUGUAGACUCCCCUCACACUCAUCCACAGUGAAUGUCAUCUUUAUUCUCUCGUUUCUCUUCACUCUAAUCUGGCUCUUUGGCAAACUUUCCCCCUGUCUCUACAUUGUCAGUUGUCAGCCCUCUUACUUUCCCCCCGCUUUGGUAAUGGGGCACCCUUCAGGUCUUCUCGUGGGCCCUUUUCCCCUUGUCGCUGUUGGACAUCUGGUGCGGUGGGUUCAGUCGGCAUUCCCCUGGCACUUCUUCCCAAUCAGAUGCCCAUGAACUCCUGAUUUGACUGCCUGAUCAAGUCGUUACCGACACUUGAGUUCCUCUGUCCAGAUUUUCUUGACUCCCCCGACCUCUGUCCCAGUGACCUCAUCCCAGGUGCAGCCUCUCCCCCAGCUCUUCCCCUGGGUGGAGACAGUCCCCUUGUUUCACCGCGGGAACUUCUAACAACAAGGGAAGUGUCCUUAGUUGUGAAUAGAAUAGUCUUUAAUAAUUUUAAGCAAAUUCUUUCUCCCCCCCUUUUUAAAUGCUAGAGCUUGAAGUACUGUAUGUUUCUAAGGUGAGUCAGGUAAAGGAAGAAGGAAGGGAGCGAGGCUUUUGUGCUGAGCAGGAAAUAAGAUGUGGUUCUCCAGGAAAAGCGACACUGAGGCCCCUGUGGGGCGUGGUGAAGCUGUCUGCAGGGGGAGGUGAGACUCGUUUUUCCUGGGUUCUGGAGCCUUCUCUGAAUUCUGAGUCAGGGUGGAUUUUUAAGUCGGUUUAUUUAGGACUGUUGACACGGACACACAGUCGCUGACAUGUAUGCUUCGGUGAGUCAUUCCUCGGGUGGAAGGUGUGACUUGUCUGAUGAUGAGAAUUGGAAGGUCCACGUAUGUCCUUUUUAUCCGUUCCUGAAGCCCCUCAGGGUCAGCUGAAUCCUGGUGUUUCUUACAGUAGCGGUCCAGCGGAUGUCCAGGUUCUUACUCCUUUUCCUCCCUUAGGGGAUGUGUCCUGUUGAAGCAGCCUCUCCUUGGCUCUGCAGUCUUUACUGAAGCCCGAAGCUACCGCCCGUGUGUUCGUGUCCCGAGAGCAUUAACAUCGGUUUGGCAGUCUUUCUAACACCGCUUCAGUGCAUCCCGUUUUGUCGCAAUGAGUUAGGGUUACCAAACAUUUUUCCCUCAGACCUGUGCUACACGUUGUACACAUCAGCAUGUUAACUGUCCAAGUGCACUACCAAGCACACUACAAAGUGAGAAUGUAAUAUAUAUCAUUUGACUCUUAUCUAAAGCUAUUUGAUAUUCCCAUUUUCUUACUCGCAAUUACAUAAGCCAAGUGAAAACUGAAACUCGGUUUGGUGGUUUCAGAGAAGGGAAACCUUUCCGGUGGUUUCCCACUGCGUUGUCAGAGGUCUGUGGCUUUGUUUACGUCUGCUCACAUCCUGAUAAGGGGAAGCACCUUUCUUCAAGGGGCCAGGAGUCGUAUUUCCUGACAUAGGGUUGACGUGACCCUCGGUGACAGAGCCGACUGGGCCCUUUGCUGCUGGAGGCCUCUCUCCGGGCAGCCGUCGGCGGUGGCUCGGCUUCCAUCUCCAUGUAUGGCCUCGGGAGGGCGGAAGGGACACAGCUGGGCCUCUCCAUUUACGGUCCCCGGAGGAGUCGAAAAGAGUGGUUGGGGUGUUCUUGGAGGCAGCAAGUAGACAUGGUGAGAUAAAAAUAAAUGGGCAGAUGUUUGCAAUUCCAAUUCCAGUCUCUGCCGGGAGGGCAGAGGGUGCCGGGAUGGGGGUGUGGAGGGAGCCUGCUGAGCUCCACUCCAGGCCUCUGUCUCCCUCCAUUGAAGGCUGCCCAGGACACAUUCAAGUUCAUUUGUUCUAGAAAGUCUUGUGUUGCGUACUUGUGACUCUCCUUUACAAAGACAAGGAAGGAGCCCCUUUCAAGAGUGUGUUUGCAGAAACCCCAGUUCCUCAAGGCGUCCCUGGAGGCACCAGAAGAGAGCUGGAGAGGGAGAAUGGCGAGGGCACUUCCCUGGCAGGGGGAGGCCGGCUGGGCCCGGGGUCAGGGGCCACCAGGCACUGCUCUGUUGGUGUCAGAGGACACUGUCGUCGCAUGUGUCCUGCUCUUAUUGUUCCCUUUGCCCGUGUGGAUUUCCAGCAUCGAGGGAAGUGUUGUAUAGUGUCUUGUGGUUUGUCAGCUGUGAUGUGAAGAUGCUGAAUUUUCAUGGAGGCUCCGUAAAGGACUCUUGAGUCAGUGUGGGGAGAGCAGGUGACAUUCUGGCUUACAUCAUGGAAAGUAAUCUCGUGUCUAGGAGGAACGUCGGGUCUGGCUAAGGCGUCUGCGGGAAGCCAGAGGUGAAGCGGUCUUGUGCAGGUGUGACGGGGAGUGUUCGGGGGCCCCCAGAGGAAAAGGGCUUCCUCGUCUGGGGAAGUUCUCAGAGUGAAACCCAGGGAAGCAGAAGGGACAACGGGAGGCACAGGUGGGACAAGGAGGGACUGCAACUGAACUACUUUUGGAAGCUGGAACUAAGUCCUUGAUUUGUCUUUUGCAGAAUCAUGUAAGAUAGCGUAAGAUGAAUUAUUAAAGCAAGGACACUGGGCCAAUAAUAAGAAACAUGGCUUAGAAGACCACGAAGACAAUCGAAGGUUGUAUGUGGACUUGCAUAAUGAUAUUCAUUGGCUGUGCACUACAAGGUAGAAAAACAAGUAAAAUAACACCCCCACACCUGACUUUCAUCCCCCAGAAGGAAUGAUCAGCCUCGUUUGUUGGUUUGUUUAGCUGGCAGUGUUAUUUUUUUUUUUUAAGAUGUAGGCAUCGGUGUGUUGUUUCUCAUUGAUCCCUGAGACUCAGAGUCUGCAGCAUCAUUUACUUGACUUCUUUGAAAUUUUAGCAGCUUCCCAAAGGCAGAGGGAGUUAGUAAGGAAUAUGGACUGUGUGAGAAAUAUGUUCUACUGGUGGUUUUGUGCAGGCGUUUGUUCUCACCCUGUAUUCUUUCUCAAUGAAGAGUGAGGAAGGGCUUCCUCUUUGCUUUGGGAAAUUCUUCUUUCUGUCCUCCCUCCCUCACUUUCCCCCGAACUCCGGCACAGUAGCAGCUCUCUCUCUUCUGUGGCAGGCGUGCAUCCUAUUGGCUGGCUGGUAUUUCUUGUUUCCUUUUUUUUCCCCUUAUUCUUUUUAAGUGGGGGAGGGGUAUAAAAUAUGUGUAUGGGGUACAUGCAAUAAUGUUGUUUUGGUUAUUGUUUAAUGGAUUAUUAAUUGUAAAAUAAUUGUUUUUGAAUUAUAACAUGUUUGAGUAAAUGCUAAAUUAGUAUUUUUUUCUAAUAUAAUAAUGAAUUUGAAAUCUAGCAUUCCUGUAACAAUGUGUCUGUGUUUGUCUGUCUGUGUCUGUCUAAUAGUAAUUAAUAUCUGUGGUCCGUACCUGGAAGAGGAAGUACAGCUUUAAAGGAAUAACAAAAGACUUUGUGUCUUAGACCCUUCGCAGGUGUUACAGUCGGGUGAAAGAACAUGGUGUUGGGAAAAGAAAGAGCAGUUACACAUUUGAACAGUUGGAACAGGUGUUUGGUCAGGGAGGAUGGGAUGCUCAGCCCUGCCAGCCUGUACUUAUUAACAGUAGUGGCUUGUACCAGGAGCUGGAGUCAGAUGGCAGCACUAUGGAGGAGUAUUCACAGGAGGACUGGGGAAACCACAGUCAGGAUCUCCAUGGCUACCCAACAGAGCAGGAAUUGGAUGAAAUACCUGUCACAAAGAGAACGUUAAAAAUAAAACAGGAGUCUUCUGAAGAAGCACAGAAGAGAGACAUCAUGCAGAAUAUUGUCCAGAUUUUGGAAUCAGUGCAGUUGAAAUGGGAACUGUUUCAGAGCUGGACAGACUUCUCAAGGCUUCAUCUUUCUAACAAACUGGCCAUUUUUGGGAUUGGUUACAACACCCGUUGGAAAGAGGAUAUCCGCUACCAUUACGCCGAGAUCAGCUCCCAGGUGCCACUCGGCAAACGGCUCCGCGAGUACUUCAACUCCGAGAAGCCCGAGGGGCGGAUCAUUAUGACCCGAGUGCAGAAGAUGAACUGGAAGAACGUUUACUACAAGUUUUUAGAGAUCACAAUUAGUGAGGCGAGGUGUCUGGAGCUGCACAUGGAAAUUGACUGGAUACCCAUUGCCCACUCCAAACCAACCGGUGGGAACGUUGUUCAGUAUUUAUUACCGGGAGGCAUUCCCAAAAGCCCAGGCCUCUAUGCCAUUGGCUAUGAAGAAUGUAUGGAAAGGCCCUCCUCACCCCACAUGGAGCAGAGUUCCCUGGACCCGGGAAAGGAGGGCAGGGUUGACUUGGAGACCCUUUCGGCACAAGCCUCGUUGCAGGUGGAAAUAGAACCCACCCGAAUCGUCUACUGCUACCUCGGGAUUGCUGAGGUCAGGACUCUGCAGCAAUGCUUAUUUCUACAUUUCCAAGCCAAUACCAAAACCUUCAGCAAAGAUUGGGUUGGUAUUAAUGGGUUUCUGUCUCAGAACUGCAUUGUGGAUCCUGGCGUCUCCCCCAAAUCUAUCUACAUCAAGUUUGUGGAAGUAGAGAGGGAUUUUCUUUCCGCUGGCUCUUUAGUUGAGUGCCUGGAAAAAGCCAUCGGGUAUCCCUUAAAAUUUAACAACUGAAUGUCAUCCUUCAUAAGGAUUUGGGCUCUUACCUCUCUCCUCUCACUUUCCGUUGCCCGACUGCCCCGCCCAGAUGCUGCCGUCAGACUCUCCAUGGAAACGCGUUCCACCACUGGGCCAGCCCGCCUCCUAAGGAAUCACAGUGGACUCUGAGCAAACAAAACAGACCUCACCUGAACAUGCUCGUUUUGAGCAAACGGGAUUUACAACGAACUUGCAUGGUGGGUCAGCUGUUUCUUUUUUAAAAACAAAAAAUUUUAAAUGGAUGUUAGAGCCCUAAUAUAAACAAAUGUAGGUACAUUCCAUAUUGGACAAAACUUAUACUUUCAGUUUCAUAUGAAAUUGAAAAAUUGUAUUUUUUUCACAAUGUUUCAUUUUUACACAUCUCUAUGUCUCUAUAUAAGUAUUAUUUACAACCCUGAAUAAAUAAGCAAUAGAUAAUGGCAAGUUAAAUCUUGAGUCACAGUAAAUAAGACUGUUUUUCAAUAUCACCUUUAGCUACUAUUGUAUAUAAUUUAGUUUCAUUUUUUUCACCAGCCAAGUGUUUUGCUAUUCCCAAUCAGUGUUGCCUGCAACGUUUCUGUGAUGUACCCCCUUUACGGUUGUGUUGCCGUUUAAACAUUUUUUUAAAAAAUUAAAGUUAUUCCUGGCCUCUUG